This 342-nucleotide unclassified non-coding RNA is filed under the name uncultured Russulaceae. RNAcentral describes it as "sequence contains ITS2". The record is from RNAcentral. Lineage: Eukaryota; Fungi; Basidiomycota; Agaricomycetes; Russulales; Russulaceae.
AACGCACCUUGCGCCCCUUGGCAUUCCGAGGGGCACACCCGUUUGAGUGUCGUGAAAUUCUCAAAAACCUUUCUUUGGAAAGGAUUUUGGACUUGGAGGCCUUUUGCUGGUUUCACCUUGAAGCGAGCUCCUCCCAAAUGGAUUAGUGGGGUCUGCUUUGCUGAUCCUUGACGUGAUAAGAUGAUUUCUACGUCUUGGGUUUGGCACUGUCACUUGGGCAUCCGCUUCUAACCGUCUUGUAGACAACGAUGGCGUUCCGGUCACCACCGUUUCAUCGGUGGGAGGCUUGACCCACCAAAAAACCUUGACCUCAAAUCGGGUGAGACUACCCGCUGAACUUAA